This 106-nucleotide vault RNA is filed under the name Takifugu rubripes (torafugu). Its description in RNAcentral is "Vault RNA (ENSTRUG00000032819.1)". It matches the Rfam family "Vault RNA". From Rfam's summary of the family: This family of RNAs are found as part of the enigmatic vault ribonucleoprotein complex. The record is from Rfam by way of RNAcentral. Lineage: Eukaryota; Metazoa; Chordata; Actinopteri; Tetraodontiformes; Tetraodontidae.
GCACUGGCUUGGCUCAACGGUUACUUCACCUCAAAUCAAAUCUGUUUGAUUACGUGGUCUCCCUCCUCCAACCGGGAUCGAACCGUGGGCGCCGUCCAGUGUUUUC